UCGAAACUAUAUUUUAUGGCUUCAAUAAAUUUGUGUAUACAUUGUCGUCAAUCUGUUGUGUUCAGUGAGGAUUGAGUCUUUGUCAGAGGGCAUAGUUCGCCAGCAGUCAAUGUUGAACAAAUUUGCAGGUAGCUGGGAAUUCAUUCCUAACUUUCAAAUUUGACAAGAAGGCUGUUUCUACCUUUAACUAAGCUGAAAGAAGUCAUUGUAUCAUCAGCCCUUACUGAUGAAACUCUUUUGAAUCCCACAACUAUGACCGCCAUCUAGCCUUUCCAGUUUCAAAAAUUAGAAAGCUGUCUGAAAAAAGGUUGAAAACGACGAGGGCUCAAAAAUUUUUCUUUGAGAUGAUCCCUAUAACUGACACCAAACCCGCUGCUUUGUUGAUCAAACAAUUGGUUCUGAGUGGAAAACUCACUGAGAUGGAAGCACAUUUAUGAUUCCUGUAUUACCCUAUUACUUGUGCUUGCCAUCUGAGCGAAUGUUCACCUCCCGGGAGGAUUUCUAGAAAGAGAGCCUCAAAAUAAAGAUCAAGU
Daphnia pulicaria is the source of this 533-nucleotide long non-coding RNA. RefSeq lists it as uncharacterized. Lineage: Eukaryota; Metazoa; Arthropoda; Branchiopoda; Diplostraca; Daphniidae. The record is from RefSeq and is a predicted model, not a curated record. The transcript is spliced from 3 exons.